GGCCCCGCCCACGUCAUGGCGCCUGAGGAGAACGCGGGUACCAAACUCUUGCUGCAGAGUUUCGAGCGCCGCUUCCUAGCGGCGCGCACACUGCGCUCCUUCCCCUGGCAGGUGGGCGGCGGGGCGAGCGGAGAGGCCUGCGGGGCUUGCGGAAGUCCAGGGGCAGACGGGAUGGGUCUCCCUGCUGAAACCCCCGGCGCUCCUGCCACGCAGUAAUCGUUCUGGUCACUGGGACACAGCUGCCCUCGCCCAUUCUAAAAAGUCAGCACCCUCAGGCCCGCGGGUAACCACCUCCUCCUGAGCACGGUGACCAGGUCAAAGGCUGUCCCUCGGGCCUCAGUGUUCUCAUCUGUAUGUCGAGCACUGCACAGAAUCAGCUCAUGCGCUGAGGCUUUCACUCCUGUGAUGGAAGAGACAGAGAAGGGGGUGGCCUCUCCUCUCCCUGGGGACCUGCCAUUCUCAGCACAGGCGCAUGGCAGGCAGCAGCCUCCCUUCUGCCAGCAGAGGGGCUUAAUGCACCCUGCUCCAUUUGUAAUUCAUGUGCGGUGAGCUCACUGGGAUGAGUCAGUUUGGAUAUAUAUUCCUCCCUGGGUCUGCCCCAUUUUAUGGGGUGUUGCUUAAUCAUUUGCGUUAUUCCAUUGACAUGAAAUAUUUAGCACUCAGAGAUCAUUUCUGGUCAGGAGAAAUUUGUGCAUUUUUAACCCAAAAUAGAAACCUUCAUAAAAGCAUCAUAGGUCUCCAUUCAGUAUUGACUAUAAUUGUUCACAUGCCCACGCUGAAUGCUAACUUGGGCUCACCAUCAACACCCACGAGGUGGGUACUAUUAUUAUCACUCACAUUUGACCAGAGGGAUUGUUUGAUUAGGGUGUAGUAGUUGAGAGUUCAGACCCAGGAGACAGCCUGCCUGCUUCAAAUCCUGGCCCAACCCCUGGCCCUGUGUGACCUUGGGCAAGUGACUGCAUCUCUCUGUGCUGUUGUUUUCUUAUUAAUAAAAUGGUUGAUAUAAUGAUA
This 1011-nucleotide long non-coding RNA is filed under the name Homo sapiens (human). RNAcentral's name for it is "novel transcript". Lineage: Eukaryota; Metazoa; Chordata; Mammalia; Primates; Hominidae. The record is from RNAcentral.